This 202-nucleotide ribosomal RNA is filed under the name Salmonella enterica. Its description in RNAcentral is "partial 23S ribosomal RNA". It matches the Rfam family "Bacterial large subunit ribosomal RNA", at positions 2747 to 2925 of the family's 2925-position model. The record is from RNAcentral. Lineage: Bacteria; Pseudomonadati; Pseudomonadota; Gammaproteobacteria; Enterobacterales; Enterobacteriaceae.
AGCUAAAUGCGGAAGAGAUAAGUGCUGAAAGCAUCUAAGCACGAAACUUGCCCCGAGAUGAGUUCUCCCUGAGACUACAAGUCUCCUGAAGGAACGUUGAAGACGACGACGUUGAUAGGCCGGGUGUGUAAGCGCAGCGAUGCGUUGAGCUAACCGGUACUAAUGAACCGUGAGGCUUAACCUUACAACGCCGAAGGUGUUU